RNAcentral lists this ribosomal RNA (261 nucleotides) under uncultured prokaryote. Its description in RNAcentral is "partial 16S ribosomal RNA". It matches the Rfam family "Bacterial small subunit ribosomal RNA", at positions 524 to 784 of the family's 1533-position model. The record is from RNAcentral.
UACGUAGGUGGCAAGCGUUGUCCGGAUUUACUGGGUGUAAAGGGCGCGUAGGCGGGAAUGCAAGUCAGAUGUGAAAACUACAGGCUUAACCUGUAGCCUGCAUUUGAAACUGUGUUUCUUGAGUGAUGGAGAGGCAGGCGGAAUUCCUAGUGUAGCGGUGAAAUGCGUAGAUAUUAGGAGGAACACCAGUGGCGAAGGCGGGUAACUGGACUGCAACUGACGCUGAGGCGCGAAAGCGUGGGGAGCAAACAGGAUUAGAUA